UUUCCGCCAGUGUGUCUGUUUACGUAUAAAAUUACAGAUGGAGAACGUGUGCAGCCUCUGCCUGGACGUGUCCAGGGGGAACGGGAAAACGUCAGCCGCGUCCAGGAAUGAGAAGCCAAGCGUGGCUCAGGCAGAGCCUGACGGGGUCGGUUCUCCCACAAAGGCAGAAAGUCGGGGAAUUCCAGGCUCGGUGGAAAAGGUAACCUGAACUAUUCUGCAGCGUUCGUCCAAUUGCACGUCUCCCUCAAAACCUCACUGACCCUGGAAGCACUUGUUUUAAAGUCUUGGUUGAAACAAAACUGGGAUUUUUAAGAAAAAUAACAAAUUUCUGGUACUUUAAGAUGUGAACGGUUUUAAGCUUUUACUGGCUUCUGUCAAAAUCAAAUUGGAGCAACUUCAGUCUCAGCUGCACCCAAAGUGGACGAAAACCCGGUUCUAUCCCCAAGGAACCGACAGCCAGGACGCGGCUGCGAGAACUGUGAUCCAGCUGGCAUCGCUGUCGGUGGUGUUCUCCUGUCCGGACGCGGAGGUGGGGCUGGCCGCUCGCUGUGCCCGUCCAGUGGGUCACCUCCCUCCACUGCCUGCCUGUGUCACGUUGCGUUUCAUUGCGAACAAGAUGAAAACAAAGACUGAAAGCAUAAGCCCGAAUGGGACUAAAGCUGGAAAGCGGCAAUUACGUGGAGCUGAGAAGGGAGUUGCUGACGCUCAUCAGACGAAAGUGAAUGUCCUUUUCUGUGGAAACAUCUCAUUAAUGCACGUUUCUUGGGUUUGGCUUUUCAGGAUCACAAGCAGGAAGACAUUAUAGAUAAAGAAAACACACACGUGUAUCUAGGACAUUUGCUGUGUUACUUCAAAGGAGGCAAACUGGAACAGGGACGAAGUCGUCAUGACCCGACACGGCCUGGCCUCUGGUGGGCUCCGAACCUCCGGACUGUCCGACGGGCUGAGACGCGGGCUGGGAGAGGGGCUCAGAGCAGCCCCGGGGCAUAUGGGAUGCUGUGCAGCCCAAGGCUGGGGCCUGCAGACAGCCUGCUGGGGUCUGUGAGUCGGAAUUGACUCGAGGCCACUAACAACAAGGGUGUGCGCACCUUCGUCUUUGCGAGACAGUAUCAAGUCGGCCUCUGCGCUGGUCACACCAGUUCACACUCCCACCAGCAACAUCCGGAAGUCCCAGUUGGUCUACGUCCCCCCAGUGCAUCUCAGGGUUUCUUCCUCUCAGCACUCGUGACUUCUGAGCUGGACAGUUCCCUGCGGGGUCUGUCCUGUAGCUGUGGGACGUUGAGCCACAUCCCUGGCCUCUACCCAGUAAAUGCCAGUAGCACCCCUGGUUGUGACAAUCAAACAUGACUCCAGACGUUGCCAGAUGUCACCGGGGGACAAAGUCACCUCAGCAGAGAACCACUGGUGUGUCUCAAGUUUCGUCAACGUCGUGUCAACGACAUCACUGUUGUCUUGGUUGCGUCUCUAACGACGAGUACGACUGAGCCUCCUGUCAGGACUCGGGCUUCGUGUUUCCUCUGUGAGAGUUUCCUGUUCGUAACUUGUGCCCAUUUUUAUAUUGGGUUGUUUGGUUUGUUCUUACACAUUUAUACAUUCCUUCAGUAUUUCAGAUACUUAUCUUUUGUUAGUUAUUCCAGUGGUCUUUCUGCACCAAAACAAUGUUCAUAAAUUUAUGCUUAUAAAGAUGGGAAACAAGCAUAUUGAAUUAAUAAAGCUCCAUGCAUUUUUAAAUAGAUGAGCUUUAAGAAUCCUUGGACAAUUUGAUCUUUCACUUUCUUUUAACCUUAAGCAAGAAGAGACAAUUUUUUAAAAAUUUCUUUCUGCCUUCGCAUUUUUUAAAUUUUUUACUCAAGUGCUGAUAAUCAGGAGUUGUUGUCAAGACUUUGGUUGAAAUCAAUCACAAUUUUGAGAAAAAUUAUCUCAAAGAUUUUUUUAUCUGAAAACAUUAACUAAUGAAGUUAUUAAUUAACUCUAAAAUGUUAAAGAUUUUUCUCACUGUAAGGAUUAUGGUGAGGUUUAACAUAAAUUAUUUUCUUGCUUUCAAGGAAGAUUUGUGGAGGAUGAGGAUCUGCUCUAGGUAGGACACUGCAGAUGUCAUAGAGUUGAGCAGAACAGCCUCCACUUGAGCAGUUUAUGAUUAGUUGGAAAAAUUAGACACUGAUGAGAAUAAUAUAACAGCAGAAUUUAACAGUUCGUAAAAACAAAAAGUGCUCACCUGCAGCCACACGCCUUGAUUCUGCAAACCUUCCCUGUGCACGAAAUUCAGGUCAGAGUCUGCCCUGAGGGGCGUCCAGUCCAGUGGAGCAGUCGGAGCGUGUGCCCCAAGGAAGCCGAGGUGGUUUUUUCUGGUUGUGAAGCUUCGAAAAGGUUAAAGAAGCAGAGACCUUCCGAUCCAGGCCUUAAGGAACAAGGAGACCGUCUCGGGGAGAAGUCUGCGUUCUGGCCGGCACACGGCUUUGCACCUUUGCGUCGCAGAAACAAGUGCAGCCUUGAACUUGGCAAAGGCUUGUGGGCGGAGACCUGCACCCUGGGACCCACGACUGGGGGACUCCACUGGCCCCUCGAAGCCCCCUUUCCUCGUCCCCCAGGGCAUCAUCAUAUAAAAAUAGUCAUUGCCUAUAAAAAUGCCAAUUCUUGUGUAAUUUUUAAGAAAACUACAGAGAAAUGCAUUUAUCUUCAUCAUCCUCGAUUAAAAGUCCAGUGUGCAGAUUCGUUGUCUGGAGAUGGAAGAGCUGCACCCACUGGGGGCGGGUGGGGCUCCUUCAGAGGCAGGAGGACUGACCUAGGCUCCCUCCCUCCCGCCUCUGUCUUUCAUUCGUUCUCAGUGUCUAACUUAGAACCUGUGAACAAAAAAAAGAAAUGAGUGUCUGGCCAGCUAGUCCUUCAGCUCCUGGAUGCAGGCGUCACGGAGAGAGUGCUGCCCCGGCCUUGACGGGUGUGAGCCAUUAACCUUCAAGCUGAUUCUGGAGACACUGUCGUGACAGUGUAACUGAAAGUUCGGUCUCUGAACCCGACGCCAAUCCAAAUAACGAGAACAGAGUCUUGAGCGGAAGAGGAAAGGUUUUUACUAUGCCAGGCACAGGGAGCAAAGCAAGGGCUCGUACCUCGAAAAUUGCUAGCUCCCCAAUGAGGAAUGGGCGGGUUCGAGCGCCGGGAGUCGAGGACUUGAGGUCUGGGAAGCCUCCGCUCCUUGGUACUUUGAGACAGCGGCUUUCCUGGCAAACUCGAGGACACAUGAUCAGCUAAACUUUAGUGUGCCUCCAACUCCAGGCCACCUGGGCUUUUAACAAUUUGUAACUCCCAUUUAGUUGUAAAGCUCAAAGAGUCCAAGUUUAAAGAAACAGGAACAAGUACCAAGUGAGAUUUCCUUCGUGUAAAUUUUGGUGUGGUCUUCCCCGUGGAAAGGGUGCAGGCGUUUCUGGUGCUCGCCCAGCGAGGUCGCUCCUCUCUCUGCACCUCCUCCCCUUCUUCAGGCCACGCUGGCUGCCUGUUCCAGAGGCGACGGUGUGAGAUGCCGGCUUAGGGACAGAAAACCUGAGGCUGAAUCCCCAUCUUGCAACUUGCGAGGAUCCUAUGCGGUCUCCAGAAUCCUCCCAGAAGGCCUGCGCCACGCCGUGUGUCCAUCUGCUCUUGUCUCCAAGGAUCUUUGGUCAACCCUGCUGGGAGGGGCCGGGCUUUGUCCCGAGGACCCAGAGUCUCGCCGAGUCUUUGUCCAAGGACAGAGUGAUGGUGUGUCAACGUCGAGGAGCAUCUAUGGAGACGAGACGGAAAGGACUGUCGUUAGAGUCGGUAUCCAGGGACAGGCUGAGAACUACAGGCCAGAUCUUCCUAGGAGUCACGACCUUGGCUGACGCCAGGUAUCCGACACUGCUUCCAUCUCCGUCCAGCUGGAGCCCCACAAGGCAGAAGCGAGGCCCACCACGGAGGAAGAAACUAUGCGUCAGGCACCCUGCUGGGUGCUUAGAUAGUAAACUGAAUUAUACUCUCCUCCUGCGAAGCGGAGCUGGGAUCUUCUUUCAGGAGAGGGGCCUGGCCGGUCCUGGCAGAGUUUACACCAAAAUUAUCCGAGAGUCUCUUCUCAGCAGAGGGGUCGCUGUGUCCCGAGCACCCUGACUUGCAUUUUGCGUGUGUCUGUUUAGCUUUGUACCGUUGCUCAGAACGUGCACUGGUGCUCUGAGCCCGGUGGCAGGCUCUCAGCUACGGUUUUGUUUAUGUCUCGGAACUGGAUUAAUAAGUACCUGCUCGCCUGGAGCCGCCUGGAGCAUCGACACCGCAGCAGCAUUGGAAGCGGCUGCUCGCCCUGCUCUGCCGAUGGGUGCAAGAUGCAGCCAGCAAAGAAGGGGGGAGGUGUCAGGAAAGCUGCCCCGAGUCAUUCUCUUUCAAGCUGCGCUCAAGUCCCCACUGUUUGAGUCUCAGAAAAAUAUUCAGAAAAGGGGCUUUUCUAAAAUAUCACAAUUUCUAAACAGACUCAGACCUAAUUACAGAUGCAAACGGCGUUGUGCAAUCUCUCUUUACGCUUCCUUAAGGCACCCUCAGAGUCAGGCAGUCUUCCUGAGAAGGCCACAGAGAAGGCCAAGGUGGGCAGGAAGCGGUUCACACACCUGGAAGAUUUGUACCUACAGAGGGAAACAGUGAAGCACGAAGGGCAUUCCUAUCGCAGAGGGGAUGGAAAUGGAAUAAAAAUCACACUCCUUGUCAGGCAGAACAUAAACGUCUUUAAAACAACAUGGCUGUGAUUUUAUGGGACAGAAAAAUCCGGACCAUUCUUUCGAAAUGGCAUUUCUGCCGCAAACCUUUGAAGAAUCACCGUAGCCCAAGGUGAAGACGGCACCGCGUAACAGAAGGCCCAGCUGGGACGCACACAUCCCCAGGUGGGAGAAAACGAAGCCGGCCGGCUGGAGACGGGGGAGGCGGUCCAGGAGUCGGCCUCCGGUGGAGCAGGUGAUGGAAA
Molecule: long non-coding RNA, 4951 nt
Filed under: Equus asinus (donkey)
Lineage: Eukaryota; Metazoa; Chordata; Mammalia; Perissodactyla; Equidae
Description: lncRNA (ENSEASG00005034744.1)
Source: RNAcentral